UAGGGAAUAUUGGUAAUGUGCGAAAGCGCGAACCAGCAACGCCGCGUGCACGAUGAAGGCCUUCGGGUCGUAAAGUGCUUUUAGAGAGGAUGAGGAAGGACAGUACUUUCUGAAUAAGCCUCGGCUAACUACGUGCCAGCAGCCGCGGUAAAACGUAGGAGGCUAGCGUUAUCCGGAUUUACUGGGCGUAAAGCGCAUGCAGGUGGUUUUGUAAGUUGGAUGUGAAAGCUCCUGGCUUAACUGGGAGAGGUCGUUCAAAACUACAAGACUUGAGAUUGGUAGAGGAUAAUGAAAUUCCGGGUGUUGUGGUGAAAUGCGUAGAUAUCCGGAGGAACACCAGUGGCGAAAGCGGUUUUCUGGACCAAUUCUGACACUCAGAUGCGAAAGCUAAGGUAGCAAACG
Molecule: ribosomal RNA, 402 nt
Filed under: uncultured bacterium
Lineage: Bacteria
Description: bacterial SSU rRNA
Rfam family: Bacterial small subunit ribosomal RNA
Source: RNAcentral